This 271-nucleotide ribosomal RNA is filed under the name Aspergillus nidulans. Its description in RNAcentral is "partial small subunit ribosomal RNA". It matches the Rfam family "Eukaryotic small subunit ribosomal RNA", at positions 931 to 1200 of the family's 1831-position model. The record is from RNAcentral. Lineage: Eukaryota; Fungi; Ascomycota; Eurotiomycetes; Eurotiales; Aspergillaceae.
GAAGACUAACUACUGCGAAAGCAUUCGCCAAGGAUGUUUUCAUUAAUCAGGGAACGAAAGUUAGGGGAUCGAAGACGAUCAGAUACCGUCGUAGUCUUAACCAUAAACUAUGCCGACUAGGGAUCGGGCGGCGUUUCUUUUAUGACCCGCUCGGCACCUUACGAGAAAUCAAAGUUUUUGGGUUCUGGGGGGAGUAUGGUCGCAAGGCUGAAACUUAAAGAAAUUGACGGAAGGGCACCACAAGGCGUGGAGCCUGCGGCUUAAUUUGACU